RNAcentral lists this ribosomal RNA (393 nucleotides) under uncultured bacterium. RNAcentral's name for it is "bacterial SSU rRNA". It matches the Rfam family "Bacterial small subunit ribosomal RNA", at positions 505 to 898 of the family's 1533-position model. The record is from RNAcentral.
GUGUCAGCAGCCGCGGUAAUACGUAGGCAGCAAGCGUUGUUCGGAGUUACUGGGCGUAAAGAGUGCGUAGGCGGUGCCCUAAGUCUGUUGUGAAAUCUCCCGGCUUAACUGGGAGGGUGCGGUGGAAACUGGGGUGCUUGAGUGUGGGAGAGGUAAGCGGAAUUCCUGGUGUAGCGGUGAAAUGCGUAGAUAUCAGGAGGAACACCGGUGGUGUAGACGGCUUACUGGACCACGACUGACGCUGAGGCACGAAAGCGUGGGUAGCAAACAGGAUUAGAUACCCUGGUAGUCCACGCCCUAAACGAUGCAUACUUGGUGUGAGCCAUUCAUUUGGUUCGUGCCGGAGCUAACGCGUUAAGUAUGCCGCCUGGGGAGUACGGUCGCAAGGCUGAA